GCGGCAGUGGCGGAAUUUGGUAGACGCACCAGCUUGAGGGGCUGGCGGGAGCAAUCCCGUGGAGGUUCGAGUCCUCUCUGCCGCACCA
RNAcentral lists this transfer RNA (88 nucleotides) under Deltaproteobacteria bacterium. Its description in RNAcentral is "tRNA-Leu". It matches the Rfam family "tRNA". From Rfam's summary of the family: Transfer RNA (tRNA) molecules are approximately 80 nucleotides in length. Their secondary structure includes four short double-helical elements and three loops (D, anti-codon, and T loops). The record is from RNAcentral. Lineage: Bacteria; Pseudomonadati; Myxococcota; Myxococcia.